This 25-nucleotide ribosomal RNA is filed under the name Lupinus mariae-josephae. RNAcentral describes it as "partial 18S ribosomal RNA". Lineage: Eukaryota; Viridiplantae; Streptophyta; Magnoliopsida; Fabales; Fabaceae. The record is from RNAcentral.
GAUGUUACCUGGUUGAUCCUGCCAG